RNAcentral lists this transfer RNA (75 nucleotides) under Candidatus Spyradomonas excrementavium. Its description in RNAcentral is "tRNA-Gly". It matches the Rfam family "tRNA". From Rfam's summary of the family: Transfer RNA (tRNA) molecules are approximately 80 nucleotides in length. Their secondary structure includes four short double-helical elements and three loops (D, anti-codon, and T loops). Further hydrogen bonds mediate the characteristic L-shaped molecular structure. tRNAs have two regions of fundamental functional importance: the anti-codon, which is responsible for specific mRNA codon recognition, and the 3' end, to which the tRNAs corresponding amino acid is attached (by aminoacyl-tRNA synthetases). tRNAs cope with the degeneracy of the genetic code in two manners: having more than one tRNA (with a specific anti-codon) for a particular amino acid; and 'wobble' base-pairing, i.e. permitting non-standard base-pairing at the 3rd anti-codon position. Lineage: Bacteria; Bacillati; Candidatus Melainabacteria; Candidatus Gastranaerophilales; Candidatus Gastranaerophilaceae. The record is from RNAcentral.
GCGGAAGUAACUCAAUGGUAGAGUACCUGCCUUCCAAGCAGGCUGUUGCGAGUUCGAGCCUCGUCUUCCGCUCCA